GAGGCCUCCGUGUAGGCCGCAGUGAAGCCUGAACUCGAGUAGGGCCCAAGCCAGCCAGGAAGGAGGAGGCAGCCAGAGUGUUCUCUGCAGCAGAAGAUCCCUUGCUGCACUGCUUAACCCAGACCAGCAUUUGCCAGGCCAUGUAUACCAGUGUAUAAAUAUACUUGAGAAUAGCCACCGUAACCAACACCUUGAAUCUGUGGAUUUGUGCCAUUGGUAUCUGUUCUCCUUUUUGCAUGUUUGUGGGACAUGAACACAGAUCAGCAGAAUAAUAUAUGAACACUGGAAGCUGCCUUAAUUUGAAUCAGACUAUUGUUCCAUCUAGCUCAAUAUUGUCUACACCAGCUGAGAGACACCCCAGGGUUUCUGGCAGGGAUCUUUCCCAGCUCUACCUGAAUAUUUCAAGGACUGAACAUAGGACCUUCUGCAUGAAAAACGUUCUUUAUGACUGAGCUGUGGGAUCCUCCCCAAAGGAAUAUUUCAACCAAACUAUGAGAGACAAAUAUGCCAGUUCAAGUGGCAACCUGGCGUAUCUACUCCCAAGUAAAUGUACUUGAAGUAAAUCAGUACUUGACAUUUAUCUGUAGAUACCAUACUGCUUCUCUUUGCUGCUCUUUUCCUGCAUUUUCUCAACUUAACCUCAGGCUGGGUGCUUAGCAGGCGUACAUUCUCAUCCGACACUGACUUUGUUGCCUUUGGUGACAUGACUUCAAUUUCAAAGCUGCAGAAGAUACAAAUCGAGGCACAAUGAAAGUAGUCAGGACCAUGAUGCAUUUUAGCUGACCUGAGACCAGCACAGAGGGUGCUGGGGUCUGAAAUUAGAGCCUGGUGCAACAAGUGAAGGAUGCUUCCUUCUGGAAACUAAUAGAUCUCAUCUCUCUUGAUAUGGUAAUUGUAUAAAGGAUGAUCUUAAUGGAAGGGAAAGUCUGUGUGGCAAUCUCUCUCUCAUUCUCUCCCCCCCCCACCCCCCCCACCCCACACAGUAAGGUAGCAUAUGAGCUGCAGAGCUGAAGGAAGGUUAAGUCCUCUUUUGUAGUGCUGUUCCCAGGGACGAUGUACCCAGGUAGACCAGAAACCAGACUAAAUCAGCCAGCCAUGCACCCUCCCCAGGCACUGAAAUGCUCCAUAGCCAUGUUCCCCUGGAAUCCCUAGGUCGAGCAUUUGUCUAAGGAUGUAGCACUGAACCAGGAACACUGGCCCUCUUCACAUGUCAUGUUCAAUCUACGUAUGAUCUGUGCACAUGCGCAGUGUAUGCAUGUACAGAAGAACAAACAGUUCUUCAUGCAUGUUGAACGCAUGCCCAGCAGUACACUUUCUCUCGGUAUCAUCCAUUUGAGGAACCUGUACCCAGAUUCACUUUUUAAAUGAAUGCAUGUAUAGUUAGCUACAGAAACAUAUGUAUACGUAAGUAAAGUGUGCCGUCAAGUCGAUUUCGACUUCUGGUGCCCACAAAGCCCUGUGGUUUUCUUUCGAUAGAAUACAGUGUGAGAUGAUGCCUUUCAGCAUCUUCCUAUAUCACUGCUGCCCAAUAUAGUACCAGCGGCGAUUCAAACCAGCAACCUUCUGCUUGUUAGUCAAGCAUUUCCCCGCUGCAUAAGUAAAGACACCCAAAUGCACCUUCAGGUAAUGUCUGAAUAGGGGUCCCCCCGCCCACAUCCUGAGAUUUGGAAUGCUCAUUUGCCAGCAUUCCAAAUGACAGAAUACGUGUCUCCAGGUAUAGUGCUAAUUUCCCCAGACAAACAAUGGACCUGUGGAUUCAGGGGGACAUGGAGCAUGUCAGUGCUGGAGGCCUGGUGUGGCUAGCUGGUCCACUCUGGUUUGUUAUGUACCCUGGCAUAGCAUGACUGAAAAAGGCUUUAAUAAGCUUCUAUUUAUAACCAUAAAAUAGCCAAAUAUUCAGUAUUUACAUUAUUCAAGACUUAGGCCAUAUGAGUUCGCCCAAAGAAUGAGCUUCAAAGUUCACCACCUAGAAGUCUCUCUCCUUAGUAAAACUGAAUCAGACUGUUGAAGCCCGCAAGGGGAAUGUGUUCCAGGCAAGAACAAAAAUUCAGUACCAUACACAAGCAUCCUCUCAUUCCUAAUGCUAUCAAACAUUUCAUCUAAUUAUUCAGCUAUUUAGCUGGCUGUGCUCCAAGAGCUGUCAGAAACACAGUAUCGCUAAUUCUUUUCUGCAAACUUUGUAUACUGUACUACCAUUUUGGCCUCAGCUAAUGUAUUUAUGUUUUAUUUUACUCAGUGCGGUUUGCUUCAGAAGCAGAUUCAACAAACAUCUGGAAUCCUCCAAGAACUAGGACCCCUGGGUAUUCUGUCUGGAUCAAAGUACUAAGCCAUUCAAAAUUACAGAAAGGGGAAAGGGAAGGGGGUGCUCUGUGGCCUGGCUGGCAACACCUUCAUAAUAAUUGUUUUUGUCAAAGUGAAAAAGGAAACAGCUUUCAUAUAAGCAGGGCAGGAUCUCUCCUCAAGGUGAAGUCCAAUGCUUCAGAGAACAAAUAAGCUGAUGGAUCUGGCUAGAUGAAAGCUGUUGUACCUUCAGAUUACAGGUCAAGCCUUAUCAUACAAAGUCCUCAACGCUUUUGUUUUUCUUUUCCUGAGAGCGAAAAUAGAAAUUAAAAGGCUGUAAGGGGAAUGGGGAAAAAAACAUUCUUACCAGUUCUCUGACUCCAUAUUGUUUCUCCACUUUGACCUUUAAGUGCUUGAAACACUCCUCCAUACGUUCAUGGAAAGGACGAAGGCUGUUUGAAACCCUCCUCUCAUGAAUCUUAAUUCCAGCCCCAAGAAAUGGAAUCUAGGAGAGAACAGCAGCAAGGUUUUUAGCCCUGCGAUCUACUUGAUCUCUAUAGAAGAUGCCAAAAUAACUGCAAACAUCGCUGAGCACGCAUGGUGCAGUUGGCAGCCCAUCCCACCAGUCCCAUUUUAAGCUAGAUGACAAGGAUAGUGCUAUGAAGGUUUCUUCAGAGGUGUGCUCAAACAAGACUGUAAGGGGUCAUCUCUCCAGGAUGUCAAGGUCACAAAGUAUUUACCCUCAAAAGUAUCACAGGUCAGGACUGUGAGUAUGCUUGAAGCAGAUGAAACCCUCAGAACAGGGAACAGGUAUAUCUUCAGUGCUCUUCUGAAGGCCAUCACAGAAAGUGCAGCUCUUACUUUAACAAGGAGUGCAUUCCACAGUUCCAGAGCAACUACAGAAAAGGCUCACCACUGAGUCGCCACCAGACGAUCCAAUGGUAACCACAAUCAAACCUCCUCCUGACUGGUGGUGGGGUUCAUGACUAGGAAGGUGCUCUCUUAGAUAGGGAUUGUGUGGGGAUCAUAGCAACAUAUGGUUUUCAUAUAAUUUGAAAUAUGGCUUUCAUAUAAUUUGGUUGUUUGUCUACAGAAGUCUGUAAAAGUGAUGCUUUCAUGAAGGUAUGUGUCACUGAGGAAGACAUACGUCGAAACACGUCUAACCCAUUGGAAAUGACCCACUGAAAAGGACUCUUACACUUUGAAAAGACUUAUUGUUUGGUGGAAAGGUAUUCGGUCUUCAUAAGAACUUUGGCUCACUGUGAGCCUACUUUGACUAUUCAGAGACAUUUUUAUAUAUUCCUUUAUGUGAUUUUGUAUUAUAUUGUUGUCUGCGUAGGAAUGUUUUUAUGGUAUGAUUUUAAAUGUGUGUAGUUGUUCUUUGUAAUAGCUACCUUAAGUGGUGCAGUGGGGAAAUGCUUCACUAACAAGCAGAAGGUUGCUGGUUCAAAUCCUCGCUGGUACUAUAUCGCGGGCAGCAGCGAUAUAAGAAGAUCCUGAAAAGCAUCAUCUCAUACUGCACAGGAGGAGGUAAUGGUAAACCCCUCCUGUAUUCUACCACAGAAAACAACAGGGCUCUGUGGGCACCAAGAGUCAAAAUCGACUUGAUGACACACUUUACCUUUAGUUGUUCUAUGUAGAACUUUUUAAUUAUAUUAUUAAUAUACCCAUUUUCAGGAAUAUUCUGAAUUUUUGGCAGCCUAAUAUUACAUUAGUUUCUUGUUCUGGUCUUUGGGGGGGGGCAUCUACAUUCUUUUUGGAUCAGUAAUACACCCUAUUUUAUGUUGUGUUUACUUUAUAGGUAAUAACCAGCACUUUGUAUUUUGCCCAGAAACAUAUCAGCAACCAGUGUAAUUCUUAUAGGACAUGAGUGAUAUGGUCUCUUUGCGGUCCCCUGGAGACCAUCUUGGCUACUGCAUUUUGCACCAAAUGUAGUUUCUGGGCUACAUACAAAGGUAGCCCAAUGUAAAGCACAUUGCAAUAAUCAAUCAAGGAGGUUACCAGAAUGUGCACCAGUUUUAAGGUCAUUUUCACCCAGAAAAGAACAGUUGGCAUAUCAGCCGAAGCUGAUAAAAAGCACUCCUGGCCUAUAGUAUGACUCUAAUCACACCUCUUCUUCCAUCAGUAAAGGGUUUCCACUGACUCUCCCCAUAAGGAUUGUGAAGUUCUCCACUGAUAUAAGGAUCAAGGUGUAUUAGAAGAACCCCAGUGGCUGCUUCUUGCCAACCUCAGUACUACUGCUAUCUGCUACUUCCUUCAGCUGGCAUCAGUUUGGAAAUGGUGAAGCUCCAUACUUCACUUCUAAUCUGUAACUCACUCAAUGGCUGCUUUUUCUGUCACUUACCAAAGUGGAAACAGCAGAAACUAACAGUGGUAGCUGGAUAUAUAAGCUUCUAGAGUUAUGAAGUGGAGAGUUUUCACUUAGUUGUGUAGGUAGGCAGGCUGACAGGCUAUUCCCACAUCCAUUUUACUUAAUCCUUGAAUAGCACUUGUCUCACCCAUUCACUUUUUAAAAAGAAGAUUAUUGAAUGGUUUGGAAGAGGGAGAACUGCUUACAGUAUGUACAUUCAUCCUGUACAUACCACCACUCUGCG
Long non-coding RNA from Hemicordylus capensis (graceful crag lizard), 4874 nucleotides. RefSeq lists it as uncharacterized. Lineage: Eukaryota; Metazoa; Chordata; Lepidosauria; Squamata; Cordylidae. The transcript is spliced from 5 exons. The record is from RefSeq and is a predicted model, not a curated record.